AUGAAUCCAUAGAGUUGAAUCCGUUUGAUACGUAUCUGCUGUUUUUGGUCAACGACUGGCUGCAGUGAAAAGGGCCAGCAUAUUUGUAGUGUUUACAACAUCCUGGUAUGGAAUGGAAAUAAUAGGACUCCUACACUUGGUGGUUCUCUGCCAGUUUCUUUCAGUGCAAAUGAUCCAGUUCUGUUAUUCGUUUCAAAAGAAAGGCCACAGCUGCACCCUUCUCUCCCAGAAAUACUCUGUUUGGACCCCUGACAGUCAAUUAACAAAGGC
Long non-coding RNA from Triplophysa dalaica, 270 nucleotides. RefSeq lists it as uncharacterized. Lineage: Eukaryota; Metazoa; Chordata; Actinopteri; Cypriniformes; Nemacheilidae. The transcript is spliced from 3 exons. The record is from RefSeq and is a predicted model, not a curated record.